UGUCUUCCGUGUGUAUAUAAUCAUCUUCCUUCCUCCCAGGGGCUCUUCACAAUCUCUCUGACUCUGUCUGUCUGCAGAUAAAGAAGAAAAAGAAUGGCAAGAGCUCUUGUUUUGGCAAUCCUAGCUCUUGUUCUGGUCUUUGUCACGCCUUAUGUUGAGGCCCAAGCUCCGGCUCCGGCUCCGGCUCCGGCUAGCGAUGGAACUUCGAUUGACCAGGGAAUUGCAUAUUUGCUGAUGAUUGUGGCUUUGGUGCUUACAUAUCUCAUCCACCCACUCGAUGCAUCUUCCUCCCAUUUCUUUUAGGAUAGAUAUUGAUUGAUUUUCUCAUGUGAUUUUGGUUCUAUAUGGUCUGUACUUGUCCAAGAAUUGAUUGAUUAAGUUGUUUUGAUUUUCCUUUAUUCAAAUUUCAGAUCCCUUUUAUCUUGUAA
Tripterygium wilfordii is the source of this 428-nucleotide long non-coding RNA. RefSeq lists it as uncharacterized. The record is from RefSeq and is a predicted model, not a curated record. Lineage: Eukaryota; Viridiplantae; Streptophyta; Magnoliopsida; Celastrales; Celastraceae. The transcript is spliced from 2 exons.